RNAcentral lists this unclassified non-coding RNA (329 nucleotides) under plant metagenome. Its description in RNAcentral is "partial contains 5.8S ribosomal RNA, internal transcribed spacer 2, and large subunit ribosomal RNA". The stretch from base 1 to 105 matches the Rfam family "5.8S ribosomal RNA", at positions 50 to 154 of the family's 154-position model. The record is from RNAcentral.
GAAAUGCGAUAAGUAAUGUGAAUUGCAGAAUUCAGUGAAUCAUCGAAUCUUUGAACGCACAUUGCGCCCGUCAGCAUUCUGGCGGGCAUGCCUGUUCGAGCGUCAUUUCAACCCUCAGGACCCCCCUUUCGCGGGGAGGGACCUGGCGUUGGGGAUCGGCCCGCCCCCCGCGGCGGCGCCGUCCCCGAAAUCUAGUGGCGGUCUCGCUGCAGCCUCCCCUGCGUAGUAGUUACAACCUCGCAUCGGAGCGCGGCGCGGCCACGCCGUAAAACCCCCGACUUUCUGAACGUUGACCUCGGUUCAGGUAGGAAUACCCGCUGAACUUAAGC